Molecule: transfer RNA, 72 nt
Filed under: Pleuronectes platessa (European plaice)
Lineage: Eukaryota; Metazoa; Chordata; Actinopteri; Pleuronectiformes; Pleuronectidae
Rfam family: tRNA
About the family: Transfer RNA (tRNA) molecules are approximately 80 nucleotides in length. Their secondary structure includes four short double-helical elements and three loops (D, anti-codon, and T loops).
Source: Rfam by way of RNAcentral
UGGGGUAUAGCUCAGUGGUAGAGCAUUUGACUGCAGAUCAAAAGGUCCUCAGUUCAAAUCUGGGUGCCCCCU